UAUGUAAGAUCUUUGUGGAAGGUCAUGGAGAUGAUACAAUGCUGAAUAGAGUUAUAUACUCUCACUGCCCGCUAUACAUGAAUAGAAUCUCGAUUUAGUUUUUUAGUUAUAUUUAUUUUAAUGAUUAUUUAGGUGAAAGUAAUCUUAUUAAAGUUUUGAUUUAGGUAUUAAAUAUUAUUUUAACAUUAAGUGGUGGAGAAUUAAUAAUUGACGUGGAACUGGACUUUAUUUAAAGUUAAUUUUAAUAUCAUUUAAUUUAAGAAUAUUUUAUUUGAAUAUUGCCUCUAUAUGUUUAACUAUUUGUUUUAAUUCUUUCUUAUUUGCCCCUGAUAGCUAAUUCCCUGUUUAAGGAGAUUUAUCUGAUUCUAUGGCGGUUUAGGAAAUCCAAAAUUUCUUGUAUUGAUUAUGAUGGGAUUAAUUUUAAAUGUACAUUUUAUUAUCCCAUAGAUUAGGAUCAAAUUUAUUAUGUAAAUUUUCUUAGAUUUUUUCUAAUUAUUCUUAAACUAUAAAGUGGUUUUUUAUUUAUUUAAUUUGAAUUUUUUUUUAUUUGAAGUUAUUGGUUUUUAUAAUUAAAUAUAAAUAACAUAUUGGCGCAUACGACCGUGUUGGUAUAUGUUAUAAUUUUUUAUACAGGUUCAGAUUUAAUUGAAUUAUGAAUUAUAUUUUAUGACGUUUAUUUAUUAUAGUUAAUUUGUUUUUAAAUGUACAUAUAUGAUUAAUAUUAAUUAUAUUAAUCAGUCUUAGUUUGAUUGUAGAAU
Molecule: ribosomal RNA, 758 nt
Filed under: Phobaeticus serratipes
Lineage: Eukaryota; Metazoa; Arthropoda; Insecta; Phasmatodea; Phasmatidae
Description: eukaryotic LSU rRNA
Source: RNAcentral